RNAcentral lists this ribosomal RNA (294 nucleotides) under uncultured bacterium. RNAcentral's name for it is "partial 16S ribosomal RNA". It matches the Rfam family "Bacterial small subunit ribosomal RNA", at positions 335 to 621 of the family's 1533-position model. The record is from RNAcentral.
GGGCCUACGGGAGGCAGCAGUAGGGAAUUUUCGUCAAUGGGCGCAAGCCUGAACGAGCAAUGCCGCGUGAACGAGGAAGGUCUUCGGAUCGGAAAGUUCUGUUGAAGGGGAAAAAGAGCGGAGAGAGGAAAUGGUCUCCGAUUGAUAUUACCCUUCGAGGAAGUCACGGCUAACUACGUGCCAGCAGCCGCGGUAAUACGUAGGGGGCGAGCGUUAGCCGGAAUGAUUGGGCGUAGAGGGUGCGUAGGCGGCCUGCUAAGUCGGGAGAGAAAAGUGCCGGCUCAACCGGUACAG